GACGAACGCUGGCGGCGUGCUUAACACAUGCAAGUCGAACGAAAAGAGGGAAAGAGCCUGCUCUUUCCGGAAUUGAGUGGCAAACGGGUGAGUAACACGUAAACAACCUGCCUUCAGGAUGGGGACAACAGACGGAAACGACUGCUAAUACCGAAUAAGUUCCAAGAGCCGCAUGGCCCAUGGAAGAAAAGGUGGCCUCUACCUGUAAGCUAUCGCCUGAAGAGGGGUUUGCGUCUGAUUAGCUGGUUGGAGGGGUAACGGCCCACCAAGGCGACGAUCAGUAGCCGGUCUGAGAGGAUGGACGGCCACACUGGAACUGAGACACGGUCCAGACUCCUACGGGAGGCAGCAGUGGGGAAUCUUCCGCAAUGGGCGAAAGCCUGACGGAGCAACGCCGCGUGAGUGAUGACGGCCUUCGGGUUGUAAAACUCUGUGAUCCGGGACGAAAAGGCAGAGUGCGAAGAACAAACUGCAUUGACGGUACCGGAAAAGCAAGCCACGGCUAACUACGUG
RNAcentral lists this ribosomal RNA (513 nucleotides) under uncultured bacterium. RNAcentral's name for it is "partial 16S ribosomal RNA". It matches the Rfam family "Bacterial small subunit ribosomal RNA", at positions 28 to 507 of the family's 1533-position model. The record is from RNAcentral.